This 1681-nucleotide ribosomal RNA is filed under the name Salmonella enterica subsp. enterica serovar Paratyphi A. RNAcentral's name for it is "23S ribosomal RNA". Lineage: Bacteria; Pseudomonadati; Pseudomonadota; Gammaproteobacteria; Enterobacterales; Enterobacteriaceae. The record is from RNAcentral.
UCAGGUGGGACCACCGCGCUACUGCCGCCAGGCAAAUUCUGUUAUCAGACCGUUUUUACGUUCUGAUGUAAUCUGAAUCAGUGCUGAAAAUCGUCUCUCAUCCGCNNNNNNNNNNNNNNNNNNNNGAAUCAGUGCUGAAAAUCGUCUCUCAUCCGCCAAAACAUCUUCGGCGUUGUAAGGUUAAGCCUCACGGUUCAUUAGUACCGGUUAGCUCAACGCAUCGCUGCGCUUACACACCCGGCCUAUCAACGUCGUCGUCUUCAACGUUCCUUCAGGAGACCUAAAGUCUCAGGGAGAACUCAUCUCGGGGCAAGUUUCGUGCUUAGAUGCUUUCAGCACUUAUCUCUUCCGCAUUUAGCUACCGGGCAGUGCCAUUGGCAUGACAACCCGAACACCAGUGAUGCGUCCACUCCGGUCCUCUCGUACUAGGAGCAGCCCCCCUCAGUUCUCCAGCGCCCACGGCAGAUAGGGACCGAACUGUCUCACGACGUUCUAAACCCAGCUCGCGUACCACUUUAAAUGGCGAACAGCCAUACCCUUGGGACCUACUUCAGCCCCAGGAUGUGAUGAGCCGACAUCGAGGUGCCAAACACCGCCGUCGAUAUGAACUCUUGGGCGGUAUCAGCCUGUUAUCCCCGGAGUACCUUUUAUCCGUUGAGCGAUGGCCCUUCCAUUCAGAACCACCGGAUCACUAUGACCUGCUUUCGCACCUGCUCGCGCCGUCACGCUCGCAGUCAAGCUGGCUUAUGCCAUUGCACUAACCUCCUGAUGUCCGACCAGGAUUAGCCAACCUUCGUGCUCCUCCGUUACUCUUUAGGAGGAGACCGCCCCAGUCAAACUACCCNNNNNNNNNNNNNNNNNNNNCCAGACACUGUCCGCAACCCGGGUAACGGGUCCACGUUAGAACAUCAAACAUUAAAGGGUGGUAUUUCAAGGUCGGCUCCAUGCAGACUGGCGUCCACACUUCAAAGCCUCCCACCUAUCCUACACAUCAAGGCUCAAUGUUCAGUGUCAAGCUAUAGUAAAGGUUCACGGGGUCUUUCCGUCUUGCCGCGGGUACACUGCAUCUUCACAGCGAGUUCAAUUUCACUGAGUCUCGGGUGGAGACAGCCUGGCCAUCAUUACGCCAUUCGUGCAGGUCGGAACUUACCCGACAAGGAAUUUCGCUACCUUAGGACCGUUAUAGUUACGGCCGCCGUUUACCGGGGCUUCGAUCAGGAGCUUCGCUUGCGCUGACCCCAUCAAUUAACCUUCCGGCACCGGGCAGGCGUCACACCGUAUACGUCCACUUUCGUGUUUGCACAGUGCUGUGUUUUUAAUAAACAGUUGCAGCCAGCUGGUAUCUUCGACUGACUUCAGCUCCAUGAGUAAAUCACUUCACCUACGUGUCAGCGUGCCUUCUCCCGAAGUUACGGCACCAUUUUGCCUAGUUCCUUCACCCGAGUUCUCUCAAGCGCCUUGGUAUUCUCUACCUGACCACCUGUGUCGGUUUGGGGUACGAUUUGAUGUUACCUGAUGCUUAGAGGCUUUUCCUGGAAGCAGGGCAUUUGUUGCUUCAGCACCGUAGUGCCUCGUCGUCACGCCUCAGUGUUAAAGUGAACCGGAUUUACCUGGAACACACACCUACACGCUUAAACCGGGACAACCGUCGCCCGGCCAACAUAGCCUUCUCCGUCCCCCC